Small nucleolar RNA from Meriones unguiculatus (Mongolian gerbil), 137 nucleotides. Lineage: Eukaryota; Metazoa; Chordata; Mammalia; Rodentia; Muridae. The record is from Ensembl.
CUGGCUCUGAAUCAAGGCCAGCAGUUUGCUGAGGCGGUUGGUUUCAAGUCAGUGCCUAAAUAAAUAUCUUUCUAUGGUCUGUUGUCCAUCUCAGAAAUUUAAAAAUGUAAUGGUCAAUUCAUUAGAAAGAAACAUCU